This is a long non-coding RNA of Chelonia mydas (Green sea turtle), 1467 nucleotides long. RefSeq lists it as uncharacterized. Lineage: Eukaryota; Metazoa; Chordata; Testudines; Cheloniidae. The transcript has 3 exons. The record is from RefSeq and is a predicted model, not a curated record.
CUAUAUAAAGGCUGCCCAGCUAGGGAGCAGGGCAGUCUCUCCCUCACUGGCAAGGGAGGAGGACUGGCUCCUGAGCAGAAAGGUAGCACCUUGGACAGAGCAGUGCUGGGGAAGGGCAGAAGUUGCUGGGGCACUCUGGCCAAGGAAACCCCAGGCUGCAGGCCUUCCUACAAAGGGGUGAGCAUGUGCGCAGGGCCGAAGGGGAAGCAGCCCAGGGACAAUAGUUUGACAAGAGGAAAGAAGGAGGGCAGAGAGGCUGCCGCUAGAGGGUCCCUGGGUCGGGACCCAGAGUAGCGUGUGGGCCUGGGUCCCCCUCCUUCCCCCUUGUACUACACCUUGCUGAAGAGGAGCGUGGCCUGAUACAGGCUGUGGCUGGUCCCUGCGACAAAGGGGCUAGAGUUUGAGGCGGCAGUCGGCCACUAGAGCUGGUGUAGAUCGAAGACUGCUGAUAACACCAAACGCCCAGAAGGGGGUGAGACCAGAGCAGUGGGCACUGCCGGAGGGCAGUAUCCUGAAGGGGACACUGCAGAGCGGGGAGCAAUGCGGGUCCCCAAAGCAGACGAAGGGCAAGGCACCACACCUGAAAGGUGCUCCAUGACUGGACAGAGAAUUCCCAGAGCAACCAGCAGGAGGCACCAGUGUUGGUCGGUGUCAGCAACAGAAUCUAGCAGGAAAGAGCUGCAGCAGGCCCACCAAUACAAACUGGUGACCAGGAAGCUAAAAUCAGGAUUCUUCUGGCUGGAUACUGUGGUCAAGAACAGGACCCAAUGUUGGCACAGAAAACUGCCUCCUUAUCCUCUCUGGAUGAUUCUACUGUCCUGGAAUCUCCUUCUUCCUCUGUGCCUGAGAACUUUAAGGCCUAUCAGGACCUCCUGAGGCAUAUGGUUGCUACCUUGGGUAUCCAGCUGGAAUUCCUUCAGGAGAAUAUACAUAAGCUGCUGGAUAUUCUCCAAUCAUUAGCUCUAGGGAAAGUAGCCCUUCUGAUAAAUGAGGCUCUCUUGGAGCCUGAAAAAGCCCUCUUUAAUAUCACAUCUUCACUGCCCCCGACAGUGAAGUAUUUGAAGAAGCCAUACUUCAUCCUUAUGCAGGGUUUUGAGGGUUUUUACUCACACCCAGCCCCUAAAUCAUUGGUGGAAACUGCAGCAAAUGACAGGGCUUGGCAGGGGAGGCAUAAGUUUACCCGAAGGACAAAGAGUCCAAGAGGAUGGACUUAAUGGGGAGGAAGAUUUAUAGCUCCUCUUCCCUGUAAAUGUGCAUCACAAGCCAUCAUGUGCUCUCUGAAUCCAACCUUUGAUUGCUUUCAGCUUCCCAAGUGAUCCAGAUCUCUCCAUGUCAGGGACCUGUCAUUACUAUUUGCCAGCCCGUCACUCGUGACUCUAGCACACUGGUGUGGCCAGAAAGGGGACAGGGGCUGCACCCUUCAUCCUCAGAACUAUCUCAUUGUGGGGUGCAAUCCAGACCAGUGAG